UACGUAUGGGGCAAGCGUUAUCCGGAUUUACUGGGUGUAAAGGGAGCGUAGGCGGCGGGGCAAGCCUGAUGUGAAAGCCCGGGGCUCAACCCCGGGACUGCAUUGGGAACUGCCCUGCUGGAGUGCCGGAGGGGCAGGCGGAACUCCUAGUGUAGCGGUGAAAUGCGUAGAUAUUAGGAGGAACACCAGUGGCGAAGGCGGCCUGCUGGACGGUGACUGACGCUGAGGCUCGAAAGCGUGGGGAGCAAACAGG
This 253-nucleotide ribosomal RNA is filed under the name uncultured bacterium. RNAcentral describes it as "partial 16S ribosomal RNA". It matches the Rfam family "Bacterial small subunit ribosomal RNA", at positions 524 to 776 of the family's 1533-position model. The record is from RNAcentral.